Molecule: ribosomal RNA, 572 nt
Filed under: Lophiostoma sp. OTU1 TS-2013
Lineage: Eukaryota; Fungi; Ascomycota; Dothideomycetes; Pleosporales; Lophiostomataceae
Description: eukaryotic LSU rRNA
Rfam family: Eukaryotic large subunit ribosomal RNA
Source: RNAcentral
AAACCAACAGGGAUUGCCCUAGUAACGGCGAGUGAAGCGGCAAGAGCUCAAAUUUGAAAUCUGGCCCUCUCAGGGUCCGAGUUGUAAUUUGUAGAGGGCGCUUUGGCGUUGGCCCCGGCCUAAGUUCCUUGGAACAGGACGUCACAGAGGGUGAGAACCCCGUACGUGGCCGCCGGCCUCCGCCGUGUAAAGCCCCUUCGACGAGUCGAGUUGUUUGGGAAUGCAGCUCUAAAUGGGAGGUAAAUUUCUUCUAAAGCUAAAUACUGGCCAGAGACCGAUAGCGCACAAGUAGAGUGAUCGAAAGAUGAAAAGCACUUUGGAAAGAGAGUCAAAAAGCACGUGAAAUUGUUGAAAGGGAAGCGCUUGCAGCCAGACUUGCCUGUAGUUGUUCAUCCGUGCCACUGGCACGGUGCACUCUUCUGCGGGCAGGCCAGCAUCAGUCCGGGCGGUCGGAUAAAGGCCUCGGGAAUGUAGCUCCCCUCGGGGAGUGUUAUAGCCCGGGGUGCCAUGCGACCAGCCUGGACUGAGGUCCGCGCAUCUGCUAGGAUGCUGGCGUAAUGGCUGUAAGCGGC